AAAACUCGGCCGGCCCCCGGCAGGGCAGGAUGGCUGUAGCACGCCGGAUUCCUACUGGAAAUCUCUUGGCUUACCUUGCGAAUUGUGCUUGCCCACCUUAGUGUCAGCAUUGUGCAGCACCCUGCAAGGACCUCGAGGCACCCCAAUGUGCUACAGCACCUGUCUGGGACCCUCUGCGCUGGCGGCGUCUGCAGGGGAGGGGUCUCCUCCCUUGCAAGCAGAGAGACAUCCGGUCACCGCCCUCCGCUGCCAGCCCAGCCCACCUAAAGCAGCACAGCAUGUCCCCAGAGGCAUUCAGCCAUCGCCUCCUUGGAGCUGAGUGGCGGGAGACACUCCCUUACCUGGCAGCAGCAGAAGCCUUUUCUCCCCGACGGGUUAGCUGCAUCUCCGCCUCCAGCGUCCAGGCCCCUCCAGUGAACAUCCCUGACCGGCACCAGUUCAAGCGUCAGCUCCCUUGCGUCACGUCCCGUCCUGGCCCUGAGCCGCGGGGCUCUGCGAAGGCAGGGAGGUGGCAUUACCGCGGCAGGAUCGGGACCGAAGAGGCUCAGCCGUUGAGCCAGCAGCUUCCUUCCUAUUUCCCGGCUGGGCAUGCAGAGCCACGGAGAGGUCGGGGCGAGGAAUUUCAAACACGGCGUCUGAUUUGGACCCGUGUUUCAGAGGCGCUGAGCACUUGCUGCUGCCAGCCAGGUCAAUGGAAGCAGCAGGGGCUCAGCCCCUGCGACCCCCCCGGUGCCGGGGCUCGGGCACCCAGAGAUAAAAGCACCCAGUUUUGCAACGGCUCUGGCUUCGAGGACAUCGUCGCCGCGCCUGCACGCGAUGGGGGCGAGGGCGCUCCCGUCAAGCGGCGGCUCCGCUCAGGUUGCCUCUGCAACCACGCCCGAGCCUCGGGCGCCUCCCGGAAGGGCACGAAGCGGGGUGACCGAGGUUGCCCCAGCACCCUCUCUGCCACGGCGGGUGGGGCGCGAGGCGGGCAGGUCGCAGGCACACCCGUCCUGGGCUGCGUUCGCAAAGUCAGGUCAAGGAAGAGCAGCCAGCGCCGGGAGGGCGACGUGUCAGGGGGUCCGGAAGCCCCGGGGCUGCCCGGGAGGGCGCCGUCUCUUGCAGGGGGGAGCGGCGGAGCCCCGGCAUUGCAGGAUCUCUGCCCCCCGAUGGUUUCUGGAGCCCGAUCGCUAUUUUUGAUCAUCCGGGGGACGCAACGCAGAGCUCUCCAACCCCGGAGGGCCCAGGGAAAGCGUGCCUUACAGCCAAGAGCAAGGGGGCAGCUGUGGGGUGAACCUGCGGCACUCCUGGCUGCAGGACCUAGUGUAAUCAGCCGGGAGAGGAAGGCUGGGGUGUGA
RNAcentral lists this long non-coding RNA (1337 nucleotides) under Crocodylus porosus (Australian saltwater crocodile). RNAcentral's name for it is "lncRNA (ENSCPRG00005015299.1)". Lineage: Eukaryota; Metazoa; Chordata; Crocodylia; Crocodylidae. The record is from RNAcentral.